RNAcentral lists this ribosomal RNA (253 nucleotides) under uncultured bacterium. RNAcentral's name for it is "partial 16S ribosomal RNA". It matches the Rfam family "Bacterial small subunit ribosomal RNA", at positions 524 to 776 of the family's 1533-position model. The record is from RNAcentral.
UACGAAGGGGGCUAGCGUUGUUCGGAAUCACUGGGCGUAAAGCGCACGUAGGCGGACGUUUAAGUCAGGGGUGAAAUCCCAGGGCUCAACCCUGGAACUGCCCUUGAUACUGGACGUCUCGAGUCCGGGAGAGGUGAGUGGAACUCCGAGUGUAGAGGUGAAAUUCGUAGAUAUUCGGAAGAACACCAGUGGCGAAGGCGGCUCACUGGCUCGGUACUGACGCUGAGGUGCGAAAGCGUGGGGAGCAAACAGG